AGUGAACGCUGGCGGUAGGCCUAACACAUGCAAGUCGAACGGCAGCACAGUAAGAGCUUGCUCUUGCGGGUGGCGAGUGGCGGACGGGUGAGGAAUACAUCGGAAUCUACUUUUUGUGGGGGGUAAAGGAGGGGAAACUACGCCUAUUCCGCAAACCAACUACGGGGGAAAGCCAGGGAAUUUCGGACCUUUCGCGAUUGAAUGAGCCGAUGUCGGAUUAGCUAGUUGGCGGGGUAAAGGCCCACCAAGGCGACGAUCCGUAGCUGGUCUGAGAGGAUGAUCAGCCACACUGGAACUGAGACACGGUCCAGACUCCUACGGGAGGCAGCAGUGGGGAAUAUUGGACAAUGGGCGCAAGCCUGAUCCAGCCAUACCGCGUGGGUGAAGAAGGCCUUCGGGUUGUAAAGCCCUUUUGUUGGGAAAGAAAAGCAGCAGGUUAAUACCCCGCUGUUCUGACGGUACCCAAAGAAUAAGCACCGGCUAACUUCGUG
RNAcentral lists this ribosomal RNA (491 nucleotides) under uncultured bacterium. RNAcentral's name for it is "partial 16S ribosomal RNA". It matches the Rfam family "Bacterial small subunit ribosomal RNA", at positions 29 to 507 of the family's 1533-position model. The record is from RNAcentral.